ACGUGGAUACCUCGGGAAACUGAGGAUAAACCGCGAUAAGGUCACUACCUCUGGAAUGGGUAAUGACCUUAAAACUCUAUAUGGCACCCUGGAUUGGACUGACGGCGAUCAGGCUGUUGGUGAGAGUAAUGGCCCACCAAACCUGUAACCGGUACGGGCUCUGAGAGGAGGAGCCCGGAGAUGGGCACUGAGACAAGGGCCCAGGACCUAUGGGGCGCAGACAGGCGCGAAAACUCUGCAAUAGGCGAAAGCCUGACAGGGUUACUCUGAGUGAUUUCCGUUCACGGAGAUCUAUUUGGCACCUCUAAAAAUGGUGCAGAAUAAGGGGUGGGCAAGUCUGGUGCCAGC
RNAcentral lists this ribosomal RNA (348 nucleotides) under unidentified archaeon. Its description in RNAcentral is "bacterial SSU rRNA". It matches the Rfam family "Archaeal small subunit ribosomal RNA", at positions 120 to 462 of the family's 1478-position model. The record is from RNAcentral.